This 375-nucleotide ribosomal RNA is filed under the name uncultured organism. RNAcentral's name for it is "partial 16S ribosomal RNA". It matches the Rfam family "Bacterial small subunit ribosomal RNA", at positions 527 to 896 of the family's 1533-position model. The record is from RNAcentral.
GUAGGUGGCAAGCGUUGUCGGGAAUUAUUGGGCGUAAAGCGCGCGCAGGCGGUUCUUUAAGUCUGAUGUGAAAGCCCACGGGCUCAACCGGUGGAGGGUCAUUGGAAGCUGGAGAACUUGAGUACAGAAGAGGAAAGCGGAAUUCCACGUGUAGCGGUGAAAUGCGUAGAGAUGUGGAGGAACACCAGUGGCGAAGGCGGCUUUCUGGUCUGUAACUGACGCUGAGGCGCGAAAGCGUGGGGAGCAAACAGGAUUAGAUACCCUGGUAGUCCACGCCGUAAACGAUGAGUGCUAAGGUGUUACGGGGUUUCCGCCCCUUAGUGCUGCAGCUAACGCAUUAAGCACUCCGCCUGGGGAGUACGGCCGCAAAGGCUG